Molecule: ribosomal RNA, 462 nt
Filed under: uncultured bacterium
Lineage: Bacteria
Description: partial 16S ribosomal RNA
Rfam family: Bacterial small subunit ribosomal RNA
Source: RNAcentral
GAUGAACGCUGACAGAAUGCUUAACACAUGCAAGUCUUUGGCGAAUCUGUGCUUGCACAGGCUAGCCAAGGCGGACGGGUGAGUAACGCGUAAAGAACUUGCCCUGCAGACAGGGAUAACAGACGGAAACGACUGAUAACACCUGAUACAGUUGCCGGCACGCAUGUGCCUGGCAAUGAAAAGAGAUGCUGCAGGAGAGCUUUGCGUCCUAUUAGCUUGUUGGUGAGGUGACGGCUCACCAAGGCGAUGAUAGGUAGCCGGCCUGAGAGGGUGAACGGCCACAAGGGGACUGAGAAACCGCCCUUUACCCCCCGGGGGGGAGGCGGGGGGAAAAUUGGAAAAUGGGGGCAACCCUUGUCCAACAAUUUUGGGGGGAAAAAAAAAGUUUUCGGAUUGUAAAGGUCUUUCAGCAGGGAAGAAGAAAGUGACGGUACCUGCAAAAGAAGCGACGGCUAAAUACGU